AGUAUUGUCCUAUGGAGGCGACCCUGACCCAGUCAUGCCGCGUGUGUGCAGAAGGUCUUCGGAUUGUAAAGCACUUUAGGUUGGGAGGAAGGGCUUUAGGUUAAUACCCUGAAGUUUUGCCGUCACCAACAUAAUACGCACCGGCUAAUGCUGUGUCAGCAGCCGCGGUAAUACAGAGGGUGCAAGCGUUACUCGGAAUUACUGGGCGUAAAGCGCGCGUAGGUGGUUCAGUAAGAUGGGUGUGAAAUCCCCGGGAUUAAACUGGGAACUGCUUUCAUAACUGCUGAGCUAGAGUACGGUAGAGGGUAGUGGAAUUUCCUGUGUAGCGGUGAAAUGCGUAGAUAUAGGAAGGAACACCAGUGGCGAAGGCGACUACCUGGACUGAUACUGACACUGAGGUGCGAAAGCGUGGGGAGCAAAC
This 421-nucleotide ribosomal RNA is filed under the name uncultured bacterium. RNAcentral describes it as "partial 16S ribosomal RNA". It matches the Rfam family "Bacterial small subunit ribosomal RNA", at positions 359 to 773 of the family's 1533-position model. The record is from RNAcentral.